AUGGAUCGGAAAGAAGCUGACCUCCGCUGUAUGGAAGUAUGGUAUAUCAACUGCUAUGCCCUGUUCAUGGGGUACCUGCUGAUGGCCGUUAGGGGGCUGGGCUUCCUCGUGAUUACCUGGUCCACCGUCGUUCUCCUAGGCGGUUUCGUCUCCGAUCUGGAGAAGAAGGACUUUUGGUCUCUCACAAUCAUUACCCUCGUCCUAACACCUCGGGUCUCUACUGAUGUCGGUCUGAAGGGGAAGUUGAAAUAUAUUGAGUAUUCGAUCAUUGGUGUCUCACACGCUAUAUAUGCCACGCUGAACCCUAAUGGAACUAAUGACACCUGGGCACGCCAACUGCUAGCAGCUGUUGUAUGGUUGUGUCACCUGCUGGUGGGCCCUAUAGUAGUGUGCCCUCUAGCGGCUCUCUAUAUGUGUGGGCCGCUGUUCAGUGCCGGGAUUUCGGCGUGGCGCCUGAUAGAACAUGAUUACGUCGCCACCAAGAAUGAAGAAGCUGCACACCUGCAGCCGGCCCUGAUUGUUUUGUAUUCUCUGGCUAUGUUGCAGGGUCUGCUCUUCUGUUACAGGUUUUAUUCGAGUUUUGCGCGGAAGGACUUAGUCAAUGAUGUGGCGCGAGCGUACAAGAUGAACCACAUCGAAGAGGAUGUGAAGGAAUACCUGCGCGAGACCGUGAUCGGGUGUGAGAAGGACCCAGCAUUCUUCAAGGAGACAAACUUGGCGACAUAUGCUAUGGGAAUGAUCAAGUCCCAAAAAUCAGAAAACUUCCUUUCCGGGGCAAGGAUUCUGGACGCACUCUUGGAGCACCCAGCAGAGGAGCGCACACUCACAUCACAGCUCAUCAGUUUGGUAGCGUCUUCUGGCCCUGUACUCGAGAAACUGCUGUUGGCGCUGGAUUCCACAAGCCCAUACGACGAGACGAUUAGGGUGAUUGCUGCCAACAUAGUGACACACCUUGCCAGUAGGAUUCCUCUGAUGCAGUUCCCACAUGGGAUCCAGCGCAUAGGCUCGCUGAUCCACAUCUCUCAGCAGCAAUUUGAGGAUGACUGUUGUGCGUCCUCCCUGUCCGCUGAUGACUACAAGAAACUCACGGAGAACGGCUUCGUUAUCCUCCGCAAGCUCGCAGCCGACGAGGACAAUUGCAGAACCAUAAGCAACGCCCAGGGCCUGCUCUCCAAGGUCAUGGCGCCCGUAAGCUCCGACUUGCUCCACCUCAUCGACCACGAGGCAUGGUCGACCGCCAUUGUAACCGAGUCGCUGCAAGUCAUGUGCCGGCUCAUGGCUGCUCCGGGAGAGACUGGCGCCCAGCUGCGCAGACAAAUUUCAAGCAGCAAGGAAGUAAUCCACGGCAUGGAGGAAAUUCUCAAGUGUUGCGGAUGCGGUGAACAAGUUCGCAUAUUAACCAUUGAGAUUCUCACGCAGCUACCCGUGGGCUUGGGUGAGGAGUUUCCGUGUGGGAACAAGGAAAGCAGAGAAAAUUUUAUCAAGAUGCUUCCUUCUAUCUUCACUGAUGAGGCCAAAGAGCACCCCAUCAGAAAAUUGGCUGGUGAAGCACUGCUGAAGCUAAGUCAAAGCGAAACCAAUGCUGCCAUCAUCUUGAAGGCAAAUGAUCAUCUUGUCCGUGAUCUCCGUAAAAUCCUACUAGAUGCUGCGGCCAAGGGCACAAAUCGAAUUAUGGCAGCUAAAACACUCAAGCAUCUCUAUAUUUAUUACAAAGAGAAUGAUGAAUAUCUCAGGGCACUCAAGGAAACGAUGGAGGACGUGAUGCCAAAAAUUCUCCGAGAAAUACUACCUCCUGUUGUGUUGAAUGGAAAUGAUACACUAGCAGAAACCAGAACACAUAGACAAAGUUCUCCUUUGCUAGGCCCCGCUGACAUAGAAGCCCAAGUUCUUGUUUCACAAGAUGAUGGCCGUAGCAACAACACUUCAACUUGUCAGCAAAAUGAUGACAUGAAAUUGCACAUGGCUUUACUAUCUCUCGCUGCUGCAAUAUUUGACAAAUUCAUCACCCAAGAUCAUAAUUUGGCUCAACUGGUUGAUAAAAUUUCUCCUGGAGAUUCUCCAACCAGCUUUGCCAAUAAGCUCAAUGAGUUGGUGCGGAGAAAGAGUCAACCCACGGCUAGUUGCCUGAGCAUGAUGAAGAAUGCCAGCAACAUGGUCAUAUCAAUGAUGAAAGUGAAGCACAGUGACAGCUACCUCAAAGAACACUUCUUGGUGAUCUUUCUACAAUCUUUGGCUGAUGCUUGCAAGACCAUGUCUUCUCUCGAGAGCUUUAUGAUUUUAUACAGUGCCAAUCGUGGCACACUGAAGCCUUACAGGACUCUCGCCUCCUUAUUGAAAGAAGCAGAGGAACUUCUAGUCACAAAGGAGCCAAAGGAGCAGUGA
RNAcentral lists this ribosomal RNA (2382 nucleotides) under Triticum aestivum (bread wheat). Its description in RNAcentral is "partial small subunit ribosomal RNA". The record is from RNAcentral. Lineage: Eukaryota; Viridiplantae; Streptophyta; Magnoliopsida; Poales; Poaceae.